This 1314-nucleotide unclassified non-coding RNA is filed under the name Hevea brasiliensis (rubber tree). Lineage: Eukaryota; Viridiplantae; Streptophyta; Magnoliopsida; Malpighiales; Euphorbiaceae. The record is from RNAcentral.
CAGUAGAUAUCUCAUCCAUAAACAAUGCCUUUGCAGGUCCAACCAGCAUUUCACCUGUUGUAACACGCUUCCUUUGUCCUCCAGAGAUGCCCCUUAUCAUUUCAUUCCCUACAAGAGUAUCUGCGCAGAUAUCCAAUCCUAAUAUCUUCAAAACAUAAUCUGUGACGACACUGGUCUCCUGACCUUCUGUUGCUGCUGCCUUCAUGAAGACAUCAAGAUCGGGGUCAGGCUUAAUAUUUGCUGCCUUUUCUCUUCUCGACAAUUCUGCCAACAUUUCAUGUUGGGUUCCAACUCCUUGGCAUCUGGCUGAAAAUGCCAAAGUUUCUCUUACAGUCAUUUCUCCAAUAUGGAGAUCAUGUUGACUGAUAUAGGCAGCUGUUCUCUGGGGUAUGAACUCAUUCAAUGUAUGAGCAUUGUAUGUCACAUUACCAGAAACCUUCAGAUUAGGAUCAAGCUUCCCAGCCAGUGCCAACAAGAGAGUGGUCUUCCCAGAGCUUGGAGGACCCAGAAGCAAAGUCAUUCUUGAUGGCUUGAUGACUCCACUAACAUCCUUAAGGAUGGUCAGUGGUCUCUUUCUAUUUGGAAGGACAUGAAGACAAUUCAAGAAAACCUCUGCAAUGCUCAUCGUGAAGUUAAGGAAUGAAGGCAAAGCAUUACUUCCCACUAAAGCUUCUGCUUCAAUAUUUAGAUGCUCAUACCGGACUUCAAUAGUUGGAAUUUCAAUUCCAACCCUGUCAAUACGGUUCUUAAGCUUUAACAAGAACUUCUCAUUAUCCUCUUCAGCAACUUUGACCAACCUCUCUAACAAAGUUUUCCUUUCUUGAAAUCCAAGAUUGUCUACAUCGAUCUCAUUAGCUCCACCUUUGGAUACACUAACCAAGAUGCCUUUCCUCAGACGAUCAUAGGUAGGUAGCUUCUCAAGCGCAGCCCAUUUUAGAGCCUCUUCAUCGUCUUCAUCUCGUGAAGAUCUUGAAAAAACAUCCAACCCAUUGUUUCUAAAUACAGAAGAGCUCCCUCUUCGCAAACUAGUACUUGCUCUGUAAUGAUCACCCUCCAUUGGAAGAGGUUUAGAACUUCAGAACCAAAAACAACUAAAACCCACCAGCACAAACAGGAAUUAUUACUCUGUUUACGUUCUUGAUUUCAGAAAAAGAAUUAAAGAAAUCCCAAAUUUAAGUUCUUGAGCUUAAAGCACACACAAAAAUGUGAAUUGGGUUUCUCUGUCUGCAAGAACGAGUUGAAGAGGAAGAGCCUUUUAUAGGGAAAGGACCGUACGACUGGCGGCCGAAGAACAUUCAAACUCUUCUUUUUUUU